UUCAACCCACGGCUGGAUAUUUACAGCAGUUGUUUAACAAGCAGCCUUUUCCCCGCACCGUGUUCUCGAGGAACGCCGAGUCUUUAUUAGAAUUUGAUUCACGCCGAAUCGUUUCGGCGGGUGUGGGGGGAAAUAGUAAAGGUAAAUUGCCAUGAAUUGGAAUGUAAGACGGUGUCGGUCACACCUAAUUUGGAGGUGGGAUACACCCUUGACCGGUCGCCAGCCAAUCACAGAUCAGACGCAGAUUAAAAAACAUUCAGUCAUAUUCAAACCCACGGUCAACGUUCUGAACAUGUACUGAAUCAAUCAUACAUCGUGUGGGGAAUUUUCAAAUGAAUGUAUUGCUGGAUAUUGUUCGAACACUCGGGAGGAUGGAUUUACUCUUCAUACUUUUCCAAAAGACCCGGUUCGUCGUGAAAAAUGGAAAAGGACGAGAGCUUCGUGGGUUCAGAAUGACAGGUAGGUGUGUACAGAGCUAUUAAAAAAAAUAAUCGUAAUCCUUCUCUCAGAACGUAACAAAAGAUCAGCGUACGUUAGUCAGGGGUGCUAAAUGUAUCGAUGUGACGUUGGCGCCCCGUCCGACAAUCACGGCUCUGGCGCCGUGCCCCGCCCAUCGUGGCUUCGGCUGGGGUGACUCAGCCGGGCCGCUUUACAGCUGUUUCACAUUGGGACUGUAAUUAGACAGGCAUUUAAGUUGGAGUUUUUGUCCCUGGCGUUUGCCAGUUCGUUGCCUUGCGUUAGCGAGUUGCAUUCACUUCCUGUGGGACUCUCCGCUUCUACGCGUAAGUUAGAGUAAUCCUGGUCACAGCGAUUCUGCGCCCUUUUGUUUGAUCCUGACCUGCUGAGUUGUUAGUUUGCCCCAUAGUCAUCGGACCUUGCUGCAUGUUUUUUGGGAUCCCGCCGAGCCUUUCUGUACCUCUGCCUUGUCGGACUGCUACACCGUCUAGGACCCAGUUUCCGGAAUAAACUACAUUGAACAUUAUGCCUCUGCCUCAAAGUCCUGCAUUUGGGUUCGCCCCUGUACCGGAGGUUCGUGGCAUACAUACUGUCGCGGAGUCUGUUGUUAGUUAGAAGUCAUCCUCAUAUCAUCGAAAUACGGCUCGAAACGAUCGGGUAAUAUUGCCCCGGUCACUUCACUCGACUGUGAGAUGUUCUCUUCUUCGAAAAGAGCUUCCGUGCCAGAAGGAGUUGUCGGGAAAAAUCCGAAAAUCUCUGUUGUUCCUCACCCAUGGCAGAUGCCAUUACGUGUUUUCAAUGGGGAAUGUCCCAGUGUGACGUCUGCAGGCAAUAUGGCUACCACUUGGAUGUCGAGCAAGACUUCCGCAACUUUGCGCAUGGAUGACACGCUCUCCGCUCAUAUUUAUUUUUUUUCAUUUCAACAUUGACGUGAAUAAUGUUACAUGUAUUUUUCGUUACAAUAUCUAGUUUAGAAUGUUUAUGGGCAUGAUAGUGGCCCUUUAAGAAUGAUUCUUCUGACGAGCCGAUCUUUUUGCGGGCCAGAAAACGGAUUCAGCACGAGACGGCCGUUGCUCGAACCCCGGUGCUUGUAGCUUAGCUUGCUAUUGUUUGUGAUUUAUGUUUGAAAUGUUGCAGUUUUGUACCGCAUAAAUGUGUUGGUGGCCGUGGGUAACGCAGCAGAAACAAGAAAUUAUGUAUUCAUCAGUUUAAGCAUAAUCAUGUCUUGCACAAACAUAUUAAGUUAAUACACAACGUAAACGCACCCCUCCCCAUCGGUUGAACGUCUUCUGGGUCGGCGAGCUGCUGGUCGACGUGAGAGUGAAGCGAGCAGGCCUGACGCUCACCACCAGUGCGAGGCGGUCCGGUCGGCGCCACUCGGACUUGUGCCGUCGGAGAGGAGGAAAUGAGAGAUGAGAGAUGCGCUCCAUUUUCUUUUCAUCACGAGGUUCAAUUGGUCAAAGAACGCCUUGCCAGCGUACUGAACGUCGGCGGUCAUUUUCAAUGGGAAGGCCGGAUUUGGACCGCAUGAGUUCGUUGCAGUUUCGAACUUGGUUGUUACCGACGGUUAACAAAAAAAAAAAAAAAAGAGACUGUGGAGUAUAAUAAUGCAUCAUCCAAAGUUAUGGAACAACAACAAGACUUGGACUUUGAUCGACAGAAUUUCUCCAGCGCUCGUCAUCGUUGGCGUCCCAGGUGAGCUGGAACCCGUCCCGGCUGACUUUGGCGAGAGGACACCUGGACUUGAUGGAUAAUACCUCCUUUGGUGUUGUUAGCCGAGAGCCAAAGACAGGACCGGACCUGCCAGCGACAUCUGUCAUCAUCCAGCACGAAUCUGUUACGCCGCACAUGCAUAAUGGAUGACAGUCGACUUGAUUCGCACGGCGGGGCGACACCAGCAUUAUCGCGACGUAGACGGAAGAUGAUCACAGACGGCGAGCGUGCUUUUUGUGCAGCGGGGUCUCCUCGCAUGACACCCGAAUGCCAUCUUUGACGGCGGCGGCCUCAGCAGUGCGCAGUCGCAGUUUGGCGCUGAUUGGGUGUAAUCGGCUGCGCUGAUGUCGAAGUGCGCACAGCCAGUAAUUGAACUUCUCUGCGCCGGUGACUCAGAUGACUUGAAAUUGCCCGGCUGACCCCCCUCUCCCCGCCUGCGCUGCACCCGAGCCCAUCACCUCAACAAAUAGCGAUGUAGGCCGCUGAAAUAUUCAUAUUUUCAAAGAAAUUAAAUUCGCUGCACACGUUUCACGCUGAAGCAGGACCCUGGUAUGAAGCGCAUGCCUCCUCUGUUUCCAUGGAGACAUCAAAUGCCCCCCCCCACACACACACCCCACUGCACCCAUCUGAAAACAUUCUUGUUCUCCUGUGAGAAAACAUAUUUAAGGCCAUUUUCCAAGAUGGGAGGUGAUCCGAUCGCUGUAACUGCAUGUGCAAUAUGUAGACCAGGCGUAAUCAACCGAGCCAGCUGGAAUUGACACCGUCGGAUCUGGACCGACCUCUGAAGAACCGGGUACAAAUGUUUGCAUAUGUUUUUUGUUUUGUUUUUUUCAUUUCUUUUGCCAAAGCAGAGGACAAAGAUCUUUUUUUUUUCCCCAGCUAGUUGGACCAUUUAAAUCAUUCCAAUUAGAGUGAAACGUGCCCACAAAGUUGUUCGAUUUGUAAACUUUUCAGAGAAAACGGACUGAUCGCGACACAGAAAAGCAAAGAGGAAAAUUGUGGUGACCGGGAGUGGAGAUUAAGGUGCACGACGACCAAAGCAGCAUGAAAAUGACGAUAAAAUAAAAAUGGAAUGUACACUUGUUGGAUAAACAGGGGGAUAAUGUAGAAAUAAUUGUAAAUAUAAUUACGUAACUGUUCCUGCCUGCAAUGAAGAAUGCUUUGCUCUGCUCAAAUUAAGAAAAUGUUCCUG
Molecule: long non-coding RNA, 3361 nt
Organism: Syngnathoides biaculeatus (alligator pipefish)
Lineage: Eukaryota; Metazoa; Chordata; Actinopteri; Syngnathiformes; Syngnathidae
Exons: 7
Source: RefSeq, a predicted model, not a curated record